This 158-nucleotide ribosomal RNA is filed under the name Pavona cactus. RNAcentral's name for it is "5.8S rRNA". It matches the Rfam family "5.8S ribosomal RNA". Rfam says of the family: 5.8S ribosomal RNA (5.8S rRNA) is a component of the large subunit of the eukaryotic ribosome. It is transcribed by RNA polymerase I as part of the 45S precursor that also contains 18S and 28S rRNA. Lineage: Eukaryota; Metazoa; Cnidaria; Anthozoa; Scleractinia; Agariciidae. The record is from RNAcentral. RNAcentral also lists the same sequence under 1 other name.
ACUUUUAACGGUGGAUCUCUUGGCUCACGCAUCGAUGAAGAACGCAGCCAGCUGCGAUAAGUAGUGUGAAUUGCAGAAUUCAGUGAAUCAUCGAAUCUUUGAACGCAAAUGGCGCUCUUGGGUUCUCCCAGGAGCAUGUCUGCCUGAGUGUCGGAUAU